UAACCUCGACCCAAGAGAGUCGGGAAUAACCACCGUAGGAAACAGAUGACUAAUACCGGAUAACAACAGAUGAUGCCUAUCAACUGUUUAAAAGAUGGUUCUGCUAUCACUCUUGGAUGGACCUGCGGUGCAUUAGCUAGUUGGUAGGGUAACGGCCUACCAAGGCGAUGAUGCAUAGCCGAGUUGAGAGACUGAUCGGCCACAUUGGGACUGAGACACGGCCCAAACUCCUACGGGAGGCAGCAGCC
This 248-nucleotide ribosomal RNA is filed under the name uncultured Lactobacillus sp. RNAcentral's name for it is "partial 16S ribosomal RNA". It matches the Rfam family "Bacterial small subunit ribosomal RNA", at positions 122 to 355 of the family's 1533-position model. Lineage: Bacteria; Bacillati; Bacillota; Bacilli; Lactobacillales; Lactobacillaceae. The record is from RNAcentral.